UCCUGAUAAAGUGGCCUUUGUGUCAGCAUUUUCAAGACCACUUUUCAAGCACUCUUGUUGGGGCAAGUUUUAGGUGAAGUGUGUUUUGAUCAUCCUGAAGGAUUUCAGUGAUGCGUGUUGGUUGUUGGAGUAAGAGGAAGCACAGUCAGGUCUUGAAUCAGAAAGGAAUUCUUGCUGGAUCCUGAGCUGAAGGAGCCCCAGUGGAGGGUCCAUGUGGCCCCCCAAGGCUGCCGUGGCUCAGGGCCCUUGGGACCCCUGCCCCAACCGGGCCCGCCAUGGCUUCUGCCACGAGGCCAACGGGCUAUUCAUCAGUGAACUGAUUUAAAUGGAUUUGGAGGAAUUCUUCAAUACCAAAGACACCACGGGACUUUCUGGUGACCAGGGAGCCGACAUGAGACCCCGUCCCCUCCAGACCUCUACCCCCUCAUCACCUGUGAGAGCCCUCUGUCCGAUGAGUCCCUGGUGGCCAUGGGCUGCCUGGCCCAGGACUUCCUGCCCAGCUCCAUCACCUUCUCCUGGAACUACAAGAACAACAGUGUGGUCAACAGCCAGGACAUCACGACCUUCCCUCCAGUCCUGAAAGAGGGCAAGUAUGUAGCUACGUCUCAGGUGCUCCUGCCCUCUGUGGCCAUCCUCCAAGGUUCCGAUGACUUCCUCACAUGCAAUGUCAAGCACCCCAAGGGCAACAUUAAGGUGCCCGUGCCCAUCUCAGUGCCUCCAGAGCUGCCCCCCAACGUGACUGUCUUCAUCCCACCCCGUGACGCCUUCUCUGACAACAACCAGCGCACGUCCCAGCUCCUCUGUCAGGCAACAGGCUUCAGCCCCAAGGAGAUCUCUGUGUCCUGGCUUCGUGAUGGAAAGCCCAUCGAGUCUGGCUUCAACCCAGGCAAAGUGGAGGCCGAGAACAACGGGCCUGGGCCCGUGACUUUCAGGGUCCUCAGCACACUGACCGUCACCGAGAAUGACUGGCUCAGCCAAAGCAUGUUCACCUGCAACGUGAAGCACAACGGGCUGACCUUCAAGAAGAAUGUGUCCUCCACAUGCAUCCUCAACCCACAAGCCAGCAUCAGAAUCUUCACCAUCCCCCCGACCUUCGCUGGCAUCUUCCAAACCAAGUCGGCCAAGCUGUCCUGCAGAGUCAUAGACCUGACCACCCGCGACAGCCUGAACAUCUCCUGGACCCGCCAGAGCGGCGAGUUUCUGCCCACGACCACCGCCUUCCAGAGCAACCCCAACAACACCUUCAGUGCCACGGGGGAGGCCACCGUCUGUGCGGAGGACUGGGAGUCAGGGGAGGACUUCACGUGCACGGUGACCCACACGGACCUGCCCUCACCACUGAGGAAGACCAUCUCCAAGCCCAAGGGGGUCAACAAGCAGCCGCCGUCUGUGUACGUCCUGCCGCCCAGCCGGGAGCAGCUGAGCCUCCGGGAGUCAGCCACUGUCACCUGCCUGGUGAAGGGCUUCGCGCCUGCAGACGUGUUCGUGCAGUGGCUGCAGAAGGGGCAGCCCAUGUCCUCCGACAGCUACGUGACCAGUGACCCGAAGCCCGAGCCCCAGAACCCCGACCUCUACUUUGUCCACAGCACUCUGACUGUGAGUGAGGAGGAGUGGAGCUCGGGCGAGACCUACACCUGUGUUGUGGGCCACGAGGCCCUGCCGCACAUGGUGACGGAGAGGAGCGUGGACAAGGCCACCGAGGGGGAGGUGAGCGCCGAGGAGGAGGGCUUCGAGAAUCUGAACACCAUGGCCUCCACCUUCAUCGUCCUCUUCCUGCUCAGCGUCUUCUACAGCACCACGGUCACCCUCUUCAAGGUGAAAUGACUCCCCAGCUAAGAACUUCAGAGACGGAAGAUGGGACCUGGGGUCACUGCUUUGGGGCCUGUCGACUUGUACUUAAAUCCUUCCCACGUCACCCCUCCUGCUUGCAGCCCAAAGACACAGGCUUCUGGAGACCAGGCCACAUGCCGUGGAUGCGUGCCAUGGACACAGCACCGUUCUGCAGUGUAUAUGCAUGUUGCCUUGAAAUAAACGUGUAUAUUUUAUCUUGUGAAA
Non-coding RNA from Hyaena hyaena (striped hyena), 2055 nucleotides. The record is from the annotation of a RefSeq genome assembly. NCBI's taxonomy places the organism in Eukaryota, Metazoa, Chordata, Mammalia, Carnivora, Hyaenidae.